CAGGAAUCCAGAGACACUGGACAUUUUGUGAUGGCCCGAAUGUGAGAGGCUCUCUUCAACUUUGUGCUUUUGCUUGGGGAUAGAUCACACCACGCUCUCCUUUUUAUGUAAUUUUUAUAAGUUUUUCAAAGAGAAGCUUUCCUGCCAUGUCUCCCUAAGCAAAGGGAGUCUAAGCAAAUAUCCCCUGAUCAGUGCCAACAUCUCUGACAGGCUCUCCUUGUAACAUAUGCAUGUCCCAGCUCUCUCACGACACGUACAUUGGUUCUAUAUGUCUGUUUACUGGCCUGUCUCUCCAGGACAAACAUGCUCUCUGUGGGCCAGGACAUUUUGCAUCAUUGGAACAUAAGGGCCUUAGGUUUGGCAUAUAUUUAAAGAUUAUCAAAUUUAUCAAAUGAAUAAGAAAUGAAUAAAAAGAAGAGAAUUUUUUUAGUUUGUGAAUUCAUAGCUAUCUUAUGCCUUAAUAGUAAAAAAGAAUAAUCUAUUUAGUAUCCACCUCUAUCUAUUCUCCUGAAAAUAAUAGUUUUUAAAGCAGAGUUUAACAAAUCCUAGUUUGUAUAACUUUAUAUGAACUCAAUAUAAAAAUACAUGAAUUUGUGUUAUGCAUAGAUACAUUAAGAAUCAUUUCUGACUUUAAACAAAGGAAUUAAAAAAAAAAAACUCCCUUGUUGGAAUUUAAAAUAUGAGGUAAUUUUCAAAAUAUUGACUAAUAUGUUAACUUUUAACAAAAUGUAUUCACUUUGAAAUGCGUCAUAUAUCUUCAGAGACAAGUACACAGUCAAAUAAAUGUCAGUGCAGUUGUAUCCAUAGUAUCCACAACUCUGACCAUUAAUUUGUGAACAAACCAGUGAUCUCUACAAGAUGCUCUCAUGGCCAGUAGCAUGAAAGUUCUGAGAGUCAUCACAACUAUGAACUUCAGAGAAGCCCAUCAACAUAGUCUGUCUGUCCCAAGAAAGCAUGGUGGGCAGCCUACUAGAAUUCACGAUCCCGCCCACACAUCCUAUAGACAGGCCUCCUGUGCACAGACUUCAAGGAGGUGUUUUAACAAUUGAUACAUUUUUAUAGUAUCUCAGAAUUGCCUUCUAUCCUUCAUGUAGUCUAGCUUUUAGGAAUUCAGGGCUUUAAAAAUAGCAACAGGUAAAUAUGAGCUUUGGCAGCCUUUCUGGGAUGUGUAAGGGGAUGUACAGGUCUGCCUAUUUGCCUGUCUGUCUGCCUCUUUCUCUCUCCCUCUAAAUAGACGUAGACAGACUUCUAUAUUCCUAUCCAUAUCUGUGUUCUAUAUCCAUCUUUCUACCUAUCUAUGUCUAUUCCUUGGCACAACACAUCACAUUUUCUCCGUUCAUACAUAGUCAUAUUGAAGAUCAAUAUGCAUAUGGAUCUCCAUAACUGUCACUGAAAUUCUGCAAGUUGGAUAUAUUUGUUACCAUUUUAUGAAGGAAUAAAAUGAAAACCUAGUGACAAUAAGAUAUUUGUCCAAAGGUAGAAUUUUUUAAAAACUGCUGAAUUGGGAUUCAAACUUGUCUAUCUGGGUUCAUAAUUCUAUUGUAUUUUCUUUACUAUGUGGUUUAUCUCUCUUACUCCUUAUAUGCAAAUAAUGAUCUUUUAAUGAAGGAAAAGCAAACUAUUGAAGCAAAUUCUUAUGCUUAAUUCUAUGGAUCAUUUAAUAACAUAUAAAGAAUAGUGACUAUCAUACAUUUAAAAGCAUGUUUUUCAGCAUUUUUCACUUAUCCCAAAUGUAAUAUAAGGGUUAUAUAUUAAAUAUAAGGAUUAUUUUAAAAAUUCCUUUAUAACCACUGUAAUGUGAUUCAAAAGUCUGAACAAAUUAUACCUCUAUACAUUCCAUUAAUAGACUCAGAAAUAUCUGAAAAAAUAUUAAAUAUUAUUUGUUCACACAAAUAAUAUUUAGUGAACCACAAUGUCAAAUUGAGGAGGAUUAAAAAGAAAACUGAUAACAUACAUAAAACAAUCAGAUUCACUUUCUGUUCUGGCUAGAAGAGUGAAAUAAAAUACAUUUACCCUUAGCAGAAUAUUUCAUUUUUUAUCCUUGCUUUCUCUUUACUUCUCAUUUACUUUUCAUUUAUUUUAUUGUGGAACAAUCUCAAAAUUGCCAAAUAAUUGAAUGCAAUUGAAAUUUUUUUUUUUAUUCUGAACCAUUUGAGAAAAGUUACUAACAGGAGACUGCCUCAUUUUGGUUUCUUCAGUACGUAUUUCCUAAAUAAAGUAUGUUCUCCUACACAACCACAAGUCAGACACCAAAAUCAGAAAAUCAUCACUGAUGCAUUGCAAUCAUCUAAUCCCCAAAUCACAUUUAGUUCCAUCCAGUUGUGCAAAUAAUAUCCCUUAUAGCAAAACUCCAGCAUAGACGUAUGUGCUGUAUUUAGUCAUAUUUCCGCUCCAUCAGUGUGGAACAGUUUUUACUAUUCCUGACUUUUUUUGAGGGGAGGGGGGCAUGUUCACAGCAUGCAGAAUUUCCAGGGCCAGGGAUCAAACCUGCACUACAGUAGCAACCCAAGCCACAGCAGUGACAAUGCCUUAUCCUUAACCGCUGCACCGCCUGGGAACUCUAAUUUCCCUGACUUUAAUGACCUUGACACUAUUCAAAGAUUACAGGCCAGUUUUUUGCAGAAUGUCCCUCAAUUUGGGUCUGUCUGCUAUUUCCCCACAUUUUGAUGUAGGUGAGGCAGGAAGGUACCUCUCAGUUCAUUGAUUGAGUGGCACUGCUUCAGUUUUCCCAUUAUUAAAGAUAUCCCCUCAGAUCACUUGAUUCAGUUACUACCUCCCACCCCCCUGAUGUGUACUAACAUCCUACCCCAAACUGCUGCCCUGCCCAGACACUCUCCCAAGUGCACUUGUGCUUGGACCUCUCAUUUUUAGCGACCCUCCCCACUUCACCAGGGUUUUGACCUUCUGCACUGGGCUUUCCCACUGAGUAAAUGCCCCUUUUACACCUCCCAGUCUCUAAUAUCUGAAACUGACACCCUUUUAUGCCACUUGCUUCUUGUCCCUUCAAGACUGCCUCCAGAACUCCAAGCUGACUUGCCUCCCUGCUCAGCUCUAACACCCUUCCCUGAUGUCCUUCUGAGUCUUUAACAGGCUCUGACAUCUUACACUGGAUGGUCCCAUAUGGGAAAGACUUACUCUCCUUGGACUCCAAGAUCCCCUGUGGGCUUACUUGCUGCCAUAGUGACCCCCUUCCCAAUUCACUUGGAUUCGGAUGUCCCAUUCUGACCUUUCUCACCAGUCAGAUACUCUCCCUGUUUCCAACAAGCCAAGCCAGCUGCCCCUCCCAGGCAAUGCCCCUGCCCCCUGACAAUUAAGAUCCAACACCCUGCAUGGUCUGUCUUCCUGUAUUGUACACUUAUGACCCCUCCCAGGCUCCCACAUCCUAUGCCAGGCUUCCUUCCCAGGGGGCCCUUUUCUCACCCUACUCAAGCUCUGACUGCUUGUGCUAGGCAGCCCUCUUGUGAUGUACAGGCACUGGGCUGCCUUCUGUGUGGACGCCUGAUACACUCAACCAGUGCUCUGACACCCCAUGCCAAGCUGUGCUCUAGUCCCCCACGUGGAUACCUCCUCCCCUCACCUGGACUCUGACAACCCCUCUGGACCACCCCUGCUCCCCAUACCCUCCUAUGCUAAUGCUUACUUGACUUGACCCAUCCAAUGCUUUGGGAUGGAAUUAGUGACAAAGGAAAGCAAGAGAAAGAUAAGAGAAAGAGGGAAAGGAUGAGAACUCACUGCUAAUGUAUGCUUUAUUUUAUUUAAAUGUGUAAGAUGCCUUAAAUCCUAUUUCUAAAGUACUUAUGGACAAAAUAAAGCAAAUAAACAACUUUGUUUUAAGUGAGCUACAUAUAGACUCAAAUGUAUUACCAUGAUGUUCAACAAUUUGUGUCAGAAAAAUGUAUUUAUCAGAGUAAUGUUUUGUAAAUUUAUAGCUCCAAAGAUGAUUCAGAUUUAAGUAAGGUUCUCUUGGAUAAAUGCCAGCACUCCUUUUAAAUCUCUUGAAACUCUUACCUCAAAUUUCUUAAGAAAGCCACAAGUUGAACUUCCACAUGAUAAUAUUUAUUCAUGUGGUACUGACAAGAAAUUCUCUGAUUUAAGAGCAAAGGGCAGUGAUAAGCUGAAGGAAAUAAAUAGUGAUAAGCAGAAUAAAAUAAUUAUCCUGAACAUUUUAAAUAUCAUCUCUUUCAAGAGCUACUGGAUCAAAUGCUAAUUUUUUAAAAAAAUUAAGUUUGCAUUUAAUCCACUUGCAGAAAGAAUAUUAUGGCCCAUUAAGUGUCAUUCUGUAAUGGAAAUGAAAAGGUCAUAACUAAAUUGGAGAAAGGCUUUUAUCCAUUAAUGUACAGAAAGCCUCAGCAUCUGCUCCGCCAUUGCUAUGAAUCAACAUGAGAAAUCCCCAGCAGAGUGAAACCACAGCAGAUUUCAAUUCAACAUGUUGAGACCUAUCCACAGCUCUAAGUAUUUUUUAUAGAUGUCCAGUGAACAUUCAGGAAAAUAAUUGAGAUGGCAUCUCUAAGAAUUCUAUUUGCAAGGUCACAACUGUCCCCUGUCAUCUCUCCACUGAGGAAGGUAGUCUCUCCUCACCUUCCCUCUCUGCCCCAUUUCAGCUUUUUCCUCCCCUUACUCGGUAAGCACACACCAAUACAUUUUCCUUAGAAAGACAGAGUUUAGGGUAGGCAAUACUGCAAAACAAAGCAUGCUUAAACAUAGUGGCUAAAAGUAACAACCUGAAAUAUACAACAUUGUAAGUCAACUAUACU
This 4754-nucleotide long non-coding RNA is filed under the name Sus scrofa (pig). RNAcentral describes it as "lncRNA (ENSSSCG00000055072.1)". The record is from RNAcentral. Lineage: Eukaryota; Metazoa; Chordata; Mammalia; Artiodactyla; Suidae.